GAUGAAGAACGCAGCGAAAUGCGAUAAGUAAUGUGAAUUGCAGAAUUCAGUGAAUCAUCGAAUCUUUGAACGCACAUUGCGCCCCUUGGUAUUCCGAGGGGCAUGCCUGUUCGAGCGUGAUAUUAACCACUCCCGCUUGCGGGGUCUUGGGCUUCGCCUCCGGGCGGGCCUUAAAAUCAGUGGCGGUGCCGUCGGGCUCUACGCGUAGUAAAUUUUCUCGCGAUAGGGUCCCGGUGGAUGCUUGCCAACAACCCCCAACUUCUUAAGGUUGACCUCGGAUCAGGUAGGGAUACCCGCUGAACUUAAGCAUAUCAAUAAGCGGAGGA
Molecule: unclassified non-coding RNA, 326 nt
Filed under: soil metagenome
Description: partial contains 5.8S ribosomal RNA, internal transcribed spacer 2, and large subunit ribosomal RNA
Rfam family: 5.8S ribosomal RNA (bases 1-120)
Source: RNAcentral